Molecule: transfer RNA, 77 nt
Filed under: Shiella aurantiaca
Lineage: Bacteria; Pseudomonadati; Bacteroidota; Cytophagia; Cytophagales; Shiellaceae
Description: tRNA-Ile
Rfam family: tRNA
About the family: Transfer RNA (tRNA) molecules are approximately 80 nucleotides in length. Their secondary structure includes four short double-helical elements and three loops (D, anti-codon, and T loops).
Source: RNAcentral
GGGCCAAUAGCUCAUUCGGUUAGAGCAACUGACUCAUAAUCAGUAGGUGCCUGGUUCGAUUCCAGGUUGGCCCACCA